UGGGGAAUCUUGGACAAUGGGGGCAACCCUGAUCCAGCCAUGCCGCGUGAGUGAUGAAGGCCUUAGGGUCGUAAAGCUCUUUCGCCUGUGAAGAUAAUGACGGUAGCAGGUAAAGAAACCCCGGCUAACUCCGUGCCAGCAGCCGCGGUAAUACGGAGGGGGUUAGCGUUGUUCGGAAUUACUGGGCGUAAAGCGCACGUAGGCGGACCAGAAAGUUGGGGGUGAAAUCCCGGGGGCUCAACCCCGGAACUGCCUCCAAAACUAUUGGUCUAGAGUUCGAGAGAGGUGAGUGGAAUUCCAAGUGUAGAGGUGAAAUUCGUAGAUAUUUGGAGGAACACCAGUGGCGAAGGCGGCUCACUGGCUCGAUACUGACGCUGAGGUGCGAAAGUGUGGGGAGCAAACAGGAUUAGAUACCCUGGUAGUCCACGCCGUAAAACGAUGAGUGCUAGAUGUUGGGAUUUUCGGAUUUCAGUGUCGCAGCUAACGCAUUAAGCACUCCGCCUGGGGGAGUACGGCCGCAAGGUUAAAACUCAAAAUG
RNAcentral lists this ribosomal RNA (538 nucleotides) under uncultured bacterium. RNAcentral's name for it is "bacterial SSU rRNA". It matches the Rfam family "Bacterial small subunit ribosomal RNA", at positions 355 to 908 of the family's 1533-position model. The record is from RNAcentral.